GAAAGAGAAGCGGAAUGCAGGGAGGGCGCAUGCGCGGGAGCCCGCUGCUGAGUGUCUUGUGUUUUGAGCGAAACCUGUGGAUGCAGCCAAGGAGUUGGCUGGGAAGUGGGAUGGUAACGUGGGACAUACAGAAAUCUGGCUGUGUGGGAACCAACCGGAUCGUGCUCGUCCUGUCAGCUUAGCGGGGUCGGAGAUGUUGCUGCCUGCUGCAGCCAUCUCAGCAUCCCGAGGAUGCUAGAAGCGGGAAGGAGGGACAAACGAGUUCUUGGCUUCCAUGCGGACGGUUUUAGGACUAGCCAGUUUAUGAAGCAGAAUUGAAGGUUUGGUUGAUUGAUUGAUUGAUUGAUUGAUUAAUUGAUUUUUCGAGACAGGGUUUCUCUGUGUAACCCUGGCUGUCCCGGAGCUCACUCUGUAGACCAGGCUGGCCUCGAACUCGGAAAUCUGCCUGCCUCUGCCUCCCAAAUGCUGGGAUUAAAGGCGUGUGUCACCACCGCCCGGCUCUGAAGGUUUUAUUAACGAUUACUUAAAUGGAAGCGUAUCCCUGAGAGAGUCAUAAGAGACGAGUACACAAAGUAUACACAAAGGAGUUUAGUACACGUCCUUUCUGUUAGAUUUCUGAGGCAGUUCAAAGGAACAGACAGGGAGCAAAAGAGAGAUGGGAGCCUGACCUCUUAACAGUCAGGACUGUGAUUACUGGUGCGCACAGCAGGGGGCACAGUCCUCCUCCUGGAAGUUGGACUCCUCUACCAGAGGAAAAAGCUGGCUUCGAGGAGCCUAUAUAGUAAGGGUGUUAAGAAUGCAGAAAUAUGGGGGGAGAGGCCUCAGGCCACUUCCCAUUUCGUUUUAUGAAGUUAUCUAAAUCAAUUUAGAUAUUAAAAUCAAAACUUCCAAGUUUUGGCCAGCAGUAGCCUUUGUCCAAUGUGCAUGGAGGCUAGAUUGGGACCAAGAGCUGAGCAAGUUAGUGUCUUGAGGUCUCCCCAUAGAGAGCUCUUUUAGAUUAGCCUUCAGCCAGGCUAAUGGUAUGUCCUUUGGAAUGGACAGUUUGGAACCCAUGGCAGGCGUGCAACCAAGGUAAAAACAUGGGUUAAAUUGAGUCACCCAGGGGUAUCCCUCAGAUUUUCGAUUAACCAAAUGUAAUGAGCAUAUUUAAAAAAAAAAAAAGCCGGUAAACCUGAAAAAAAUAGCUUAGUUAGGAACUCCACUACACCCAGUGCUGCACCUGAUAACCAGAACCCAGUGACCCAAGAUAACCAGACACAGCCCUAGAACCCCAUGGCCUCCACUGGACAGUACCUAAACAGAGACAAGAGCAAUGCUCUGCACAUCUGGAGAGACCUUCAUCGGCCCUGCAGCUGGACAGUCUUCCCCAGGAUCCUGACCCUUGAAUCAGAGGCCACUAUUAGAGACUGCACCUGACCUUUUGCUAAUAUGUCAUACAGGUGAGCAGCCUAAUACAACAUACCUUGCUAUACCAACUACCUGUGUCUACAUUCUUGCUCACAAUAAACAUGCUUCAAAAGGAGAGUGAGGGGCUGGAGAGAUAGCUCAGAGGUUAAGAGCACUGACUGCUCUUGCAGAGGUCCUGAGUUCAAUUCCCAGCAACCACAUCAUGGCUCACAACCAUCUGUAAUGGGAUCUGAUGCCCUCUUCUGGUGUGUCUGAAGAUAGCUACAGUGUACUCGUAUACAUAAAAUAAAUAAAUAAGUU
RNAcentral lists this long non-coding RNA (1707 nucleotides) under Mus musculus (house mouse). RNAcentral's name for it is "long non-coding RNA chr5:121546004-121547711". The record is from RNAcentral. Lineage: Eukaryota; Metazoa; Chordata; Mammalia; Rodentia; Muridae.